AAAACCUAUCCCACUAUCCCCUCGUCGAACCCACAACGUGAAACAAUUAAUUCCUUUCGACUUCACAGCCUUCUCAUCAUCAUCUCUGGCUUCGUCGAUCCGUUGAACAUAAAAUAAGCCAAUGUCUUUAGCUUUGAAAUAUUACCGACUGCAUAAACCCUUUAUUCUUGCCGAUUUCAUUGUCGUUGGAACUAGUACCGAUUGCAUAGGGUUUUGACAAAG
Molecule: long non-coding RNA, 222 nt
Filed under: Olea europaea (common olive)
Lineage: Eukaryota; Viridiplantae; Streptophyta; Magnoliopsida; Lamiales; Oleaceae
Description: long non-coding RNA (OEUR_LNC002800)
Source: RNAcentral